GCAAACUUGGUCAUUUAGAGGAAGUAAAAGUCGUAACAAGGUUUCCGUAGGUGAACCUGCGGAAGGAUCAUUACAGGGUUAUGCCGGGAUAGUCUAAAAUCUAUCCAGGCAGCCAUGAUCAUCCCUUUGUGCAUAUAUUGAUAAUCGAGGGAUUUUUUUGCCAGACCUUAAAAUCUGUCAAAAUUCCCUCUAAUAAACUCUUUAUAUAGAAUUUGACUGAGUGAUUUUGUUAUUUGAUAAUAAAUACAACUUUCAACAACGGAUCUCUUGGCUCUCGCAUCGAUGAAGAACGCAGC
This 296-nucleotide unclassified non-coding RNA is filed under the name uncultured fungus. Its description in RNAcentral is "partial contains small subunit ribosomal RNA, internal transcribed spacer 1, and 5.8S ribosomal RNA". The stretch from base 1 to 73 matches the Rfam family "Eukaryotic small subunit ribosomal RNA", at positions 1759 to 1831 of the family's 1831-position model. The record is from RNAcentral. Lineage: Eukaryota; Fungi.